UGGAGGGGGCACCUGAUCGCCAUGCCGCGUGUGUGAAGAAGGCCUUCGGGUUGUAAAGCACUUUCAGCGAGGAAGAACGCCUGGUGGUUAAUACCCAUCAGGAAAGACAUCACUCGCAGAAGAAGCACCGGCUAACUCCGUGCCAGCAGCCGCGGUAAUACGAA
This 164-nucleotide ribosomal RNA is filed under the name uncultured Halomonas sp. Its description in RNAcentral is "partial 16S ribosomal RNA". It matches the Rfam family "Bacterial small subunit ribosomal RNA", at positions 372 to 529 of the family's 1533-position model. Lineage: Bacteria; Pseudomonadati; Pseudomonadota; Gammaproteobacteria; Oceanospirillales; Halomonadaceae. The record is from RNAcentral.